Molecule: long non-coding RNA, 327 nt
Filed under: Astyanax mexicanus (Mexican tetra)
Lineage: Eukaryota; Metazoa; Chordata; Actinopteri; Characiformes; Acestrorhamphidae
Description: lncRNA (ENSAMXG00005007025.1)
Source: RNAcentral
CUAACAUCUUGUAGAUGCCAGAGCAGGAGCAGCGCAGAGUGGAACCUAACAUGAAACACUCAUCAGUGGAGGACAGGCAAGAGGCUCAGGUCUGGAGAAGCGGAGCAGAAUGAAGAAUCCUAUUGAUUGCUGAAUCCCGAUUUUACAGCAGGGCGGAGGAAGGUUGACACGGUUCUCAUGGUUACAGGCAGGGGGGCAACGGCUGUGGAGCAACAUGACGGUCAACAUGGCUUUUUUUUCAUCUCUCACUGCAGAAGACAAAUAAUGAGGAGCCUGUGUCCUGGUGUCUCCUCUUGCGUUAGUACGUAUGGAUGUGGCAUCCUGUAG